RNAcentral lists this ribosomal RNA (497 nucleotides) under uncultured bacterium. RNAcentral describes it as "partial 16S ribosomal RNA". It matches the Rfam family "Bacterial small subunit ribosomal RNA", at positions 28 to 507 of the family's 1533-position model. The record is from RNAcentral.
GAUGAACGCUGGCGGCGUGCCUAAUACAUGCAAGCCGAGCGAACGGACGAGAAGCUUGCUUCUCUGAUGUUAGCGGCGGACGGGUGAGUAACACGUGGAUAACCUACCUAUAAGACUGGGAUAACUUCGGGAAACCGGAGCUAAUACCGGAUAAUAUUUUGAACCGCAUGGUUCAAAAGUGAAAGACGGUCUUGCUGUCACUUAUAGAUGGAUCCGCGCUGCAUUAGCUAGUUGGUAAGGUAACGGCUUACCAAGGCAACGAUGCAUAGCCGACCUGAGAGGGUGAUCGGCAACACUGGAACUGAGACACGGUCCAGACUCCUACGGGAGGCAGCAGUAGAGAAUCUUCCGCAAUGGGCGAAAGCCUGACGGAGCAACGCCGCGUGAGUGAUGAAGGUCUUCGGAUCGUAAAACUCUGUUAUUAGGGAAGAACAUAUGUGUAAGUAACUGUGCACAUCUUGACGGUACCUAAUCAGAAAGCCACGGCUAACUACGUG